CGAGGUUGCGAUGCGCAAUUUC
Molecule: non-coding RNA, 22 nt
Filed under: Arabidopsis thaliana (thale cress)
Lineage: Eukaryota; Viridiplantae; Streptophyta; Magnoliopsida; Brassicales; Brassicaceae
Source: RNAcentral